Molecule: long non-coding RNA, 714 nt
Filed under: Cyanistes caeruleus (blue tit)
Lineage: Eukaryota; Metazoa; Chordata; Aves; Passeriformes; Paridae
Description: lncRNA (ENSCCEG00000014704.1)
Source: RNAcentral
AUGUGGGGAAUUGCAGCUGGUUUCUGCUACCCUGAGACAGGGGGACAACAGCAUCUCCUCUGUGGGCACCAGGUGGGUGCUGAGCAUCCCUUUGUCCCACUGCUGCCAAGGCUGUUGCCUCUGGAAACCACCUCUGCCUCCUCCCCUGUCAACAUCCCUGUAGUUGCCAUGGUGGUGUUGGAGCUGGGUGGGAAGCCCUGCUGCUUCUGCAGGAGAGCCACAGCCUGGCUGGCUGAGAGGAUCCAAUGUAAGGAGAUGUCUCCCACCAUCAAGCAGAGGCUGGCCAGCACUCAGGAGAUGAAUCUGCCCGAGGUUGUCCAGCUUCAAGACAAGAGCAAGACCUCCAUCACAAGGUAGCCUUUCCCUGCCCUUUUCCUUGCUGUUUGAUGUGAUAUUUGAAGAGGAUGUGUGCUUGUGGCAGGCUUCCCUCCAGCUCAUCAAAAUACCUCAGUGUCCAGGUCCUGCUGUCAUUUCAAACUGCUGGUGGAGUUCCUUCAGCUGGGAGAAAGGCAAGUGAGACACAAGUCCCAAUUUGUGCUAAGUCAACACAAAUAACCUCUGCUGAAUCUGGUGGGGUUUGCUGGAGUGUAACUGCCAUCCCUAAUGAGAGAAGGCUGGGGCAGGACACAAGGGAAUGAGCUUGCCAUUUUCCAUUCUUCUGCUGGAAGAGCCACCUCUUGCUUUGGUGUGGUCACUGUCAAAUGCUUAGGGUUA